CGGUAUUUUAACCGUGCGAAGGUAGCAUAGUCACUAGUCUCUUAAUUGGAGGCUUGUAUGAAUGGUUGGACAAGAAGUAAGUUGUCUCAAGUACAAAAAUUGAAUUUGACUUUUAAGUGAAAAGGCUUAAAUAUUUUAAAGGGACGAUAAGACCCUAUAAAGCUUAAUAAUUUAAUAUAUAACCAGAUAAAUUAAAAGUUUAAUAUUCUUUAUAUAUUAAAUUAUUUCGUUGGGGCGACGAUGAUAUAAUUUGUAACUGUUUAAAUUUUAAAUACAGAGAUAUUUGUGUGUAAUGAUCCUUUUUAUUGAUUAAAAAUUUAAGUUACUUUAGGGAUAACAGCGUUAUUUAUUUUGAGAGUUCAUAUCGACAAAAAAGUUUGCGACCUCGAUGUUGAAUUAAAAAUUCGCCAUGGCGUAGGAG
RNAcentral lists this ribosomal RNA (421 nucleotides) under Nephrops norvegicus (Norway lobster). Its description in RNAcentral is "partial 16S ribosomal RNA". It matches the Rfam family "Bacterial large subunit ribosomal RNA", at positions 1934 to 2561 of the family's 2925-position model. Lineage: Eukaryota; Metazoa; Arthropoda; Malacostraca; Decapoda; Nephropidae. The record is from RNAcentral.